This is a non-coding RNA of Phrynosoma platyrhinos (Desert horned lizard), 73 nucleotides long. NCBI's taxonomy places the organism in Eukaryota, Metazoa, Chordata, Lepidosauria, Squamata, Phrynosomatidae. The record is from the annotation of a GenBank genome assembly.
CUCAGCAUGGCAUAGUGGUUUGAGUGUUAGAUUAUGACUCUGGAGACUUAGGGUUCGAUUCCCAGUUUGGCCG